AUGCCACGUUAUGUUAUGUGCUACAUCAGUCCUUUAUUAUAUGAUCUUAUCGAUCGAUCUGUCCCCUAUUUAUCAUCUAUGUUCGUUCAAACACCACAGGUUUAUCAAUCCCUGUUUGUUUCGAUCACUCUUUGGAGAUCUGAUGCGUUUGUAUGUUCUUGGUUGGUUUUGUGGAUCUCCUUCUUGAGAUAUUCUUAUAGGAACUUCUUCUGGAUUGAUUAA
Molecule: ribosomal RNA, 222 nt
Filed under: Triticum aestivum (bread wheat)
Lineage: Eukaryota; Viridiplantae; Streptophyta; Magnoliopsida; Poales; Poaceae
Description: partial small subunit ribosomal RNA
Source: RNAcentral